GCCUACGGGGCGCAGCAGUGAGGAAUAUUGGUCAAUGGCCGAGAGGCUGAACCAGCCAAGUCGCGUGAGGGAAGAAUGUCCUAAGGAUUGUAAACCUCUUUUGCCGGGGGACAAAAGGCCGGACGGGUCCGGUUCUGAGGGUACCCGGAGAAAAAGCAUCGGCUAACUCCGUGCCAGCAGCCGCGGUAAUACGGAGGAUGCGAGCGUUAUCCGGAUUCAUUGGGUUUAAAGGGUGCGCAGGCGGGCCUUUAAGCCGGCGGUGAAAUCGCGGGGCUCAACCCCGCC
RNAcentral lists this ribosomal RNA (285 nucleotides) under uncultured bacterium. RNAcentral describes it as "partial 16S ribosomal RNA". It matches the Rfam family "Bacterial small subunit ribosomal RNA", at positions 337 to 619 of the family's 1533-position model. The record is from RNAcentral.